AGCAAAUGAAAUCUCAAUGGGAAAAAGACUAGGUUCAGAUUGUCUCCACACUCGGAUACAAUUCUAGCUCCUAAACUCUCUUGCAGAUGAAACCUCAGUGGGAAAAAGACUUAAGUUCAUAUUGUCUCCACACUCAGAUACAAUUCUAGCUCCUCAACCAACACCAGCAUCUUGACCCGCACACAUAGUUCCUCAGCCAUCUCGAGCUUCUCAUGCACGAGCCCCUAAUCCCAUCAAAGGCUAGCACCUUGGCAACACACAUUAAGAGUUCAGGAGAAAAUGAAGAAGAGGAGAUAUGUUAGGGCAAAGCUCAAGAGGCAUACAAGUGACUUUGGAUGACAAGCUUCCAAUAAUAGCCAAGUAGUAUGCAAAGUUAAAGGUGAUCUCUAACAAAUUACAUGGGCGUAUUUUACUAGCAAGUAGCAACAAUAAUGGUAUGCUUUGUAGUAGGAUUAAUGAUAUUGAAGACAUUGAUACCUUGAUUUUCAUGCACCACCACUUAGGAGGUAUCUUUUGCACAUGUAAUUAAGCAACUAAAUAUCUUCUAAGAUAUUUUGUUUUUGCAAUU
This 568-nucleotide long non-coding RNA is filed under the name Rosa chinensis. RNAcentral describes it as "sRNA RchiOBHm_Chr3g0494151". The record is from RNAcentral. Lineage: Eukaryota; Viridiplantae; Streptophyta; Magnoliopsida; Rosales; Rosaceae.